This 484-nucleotide ribosomal RNA is filed under the name uncultured bacterium. RNAcentral describes it as "partial 16S ribosomal RNA". It matches the Rfam family "Bacterial small subunit ribosomal RNA", at positions 30 to 507 of the family's 1533-position model. The record is from RNAcentral.
AUUGAACGCUGGCGGCAGGCCUAACACAUGCAAGUCGAGCGGAUGAAGGGAGCUUGCUCCUGGAUUCAGCGGCGGACGGGUGAGUAAUGCCUAGGAAUCUGCCUGGUAGUGGGGGAUAACGUCCGGAAACGGGCGCUAAUACCGCAUACGUCCUGAGGGAGAAAGUGGGGGAUCUUCGGACCUCACGCUAUCAGAUGAGCCUAGGUCGGAUUGGCUAGUUGGUGGGGUAAAGGCCUACCAAGGCGACGUUCCGUAACUGGUCUGAGAGGAUGAUCAGUCACACUGGAACUGAAACACGGUCCAGACUCCUACGGGAGGCAGCAGAGGGGAAUAUUGGACAAGGGGCGAAAGCCGGAUCCAGCCAGGCCGCGUGUGUGAAGAAGGUCUUCGGAUUGUAAAGCACGUUAAGUUGGGGGGAAGGGCAGUAAGUUAAUACCUUGCUGUUUUGACGUUACCAACAGAAUAAGCACCGGCUAACUUCGUG